AAUCACUGCGUCGUGUGUCAAAAUGAAUUUUAUCAAAUAUCAGUCAAAGAAUAUGAAUUAUUGUGAAGCGCAGCUCGAGUAUUAUUGGUAUUAUUACAUCAUUAAGUAUCAGAAUCUUAUAUCAUUGCAGCGGCAUUCUCAACGUGAACAAAGCGAUUACAGCAACCACUGCGUUGGGUGUCAAACUGAAAAUUUCAUUUUAUCAUCAUCAUCAGUUUGGAUGCGGGUUUUUUUAGGAUUGAAUCCAGUAGCCGUCCCGAUCAGGUGCACAAUUCGGAGGAAACCUGCGGUUUCCUAGAGAAUUCGUACUUCAUCGAAAAGGACAACGAAGUUGACGGUUCAGGCAAGUACUUCGUUUCAGGUUAAAAGCAUGAUCAAUUCAAUUACGGAAGGACUACCCAGUUUUGGCAUACCGGAAGGAGAUGGCAGUAAUUUGUUGGCCUCAUCAUCGCUGGAAGCAGAAAAAUUUUCUACAUCACCAUGACGACGGUUGUUCACCGUCUUGGGCAAGCGAUGUCUUUUCACAGAGCUUUAGCAACCUAUCCACCUUUCAGCCAAUUGUUCCACCCGUGUCACCGGCGGACCCCGUUCCGAUAUCACCCUCUUCGCUCGUUUCCAGCCCAAAGCCUCAAAUAGCAUCUUUGUCGAAGAUGACUUAAUUUCUAAACUAUAAUUAACGAAAAUAAAUCUAUGUUUAAAAGUUGGGUGGUAAGCAAAUUGUUUCGUAAAGAAGAAUCGUUUGCUGGUGGUGGUCAUGUGUCCUCACCUAUGUGCCCCACCGUAGAGCCGGAGAGCGAAGACUGUGAUAAUAUUAGGAAUAAUGAAAAUAGUUCUAUGUGUAUUAGAGCAGAGCGGCGAUACUAAAGAUGGCUAUCAGCAGUGACCGCAGUGACCAAUCGUAAUUGUAACCCCGAGACCGAACAGUCACACAUUAGAUGUUUAGGCCUGUUCUAUUCGUGGAAGUGUAUACUUGCGUGAACGCGAAGGUUCGAAAUCGCUCAGUGUUGGAGGAGAAAAAAGUGGCGAUCGGCGUACCAGUCAUAAUUUCGUGUUGAUAUGAUAUGAUAUGAUGAUAUGAUCGACAUAUGGUCGUAUAUUCCUAAACUCGAAGUGAUAUUUCGCCGUUCGCGAUACGGAAGCUAUCGGUCGCAGAGCGAGAAAAUUUUCUUUGGUGACGGAUGCGUUUGCGGGAAGACCUUGAAGUUUGACAAUAGCAGUUAACAGUAGAAACAGUUCUCUUCAUCAACCUGGUAGGUUACUGGGCGAUGGAGCCAGGCUGUGUCCUUCGACGUUGUUACGCUACAUUCGGGAUGUGGGAUGCGGUCGGAGGAACUUGGCGAAUCGAAUAUCGGACUGGAUGGACAUCGGAAAUCUGGCGAAGCGCGGCCAGAACCUGCUGCACACGACCCUCGGAAACGUUUGCGGACAUGGUCAUAAGGAACGUGAUCAGGCUCAGACAUAAUAAUCGAUGUACGGUCUUAUAUUUCGCAAAGUCGAAGUGAUAUUCGCGCGAUCCGGAAGCUACCGGUCGCAGUGCGAAAAAGCAUCUUUGGUGACGGAUGCAUUUACGGGAAGACCUCGAAGUUCGACAAUAGCAGUUAACAGUAGAAACAGUUCCUGUUGUCAACCUGGUAGGUAACGGUGUGAUAGAGCCAGUCUGUGUCCUUCGGCAACGUCUCGAAAAGAUUCAGGCAUUCGGUCGAACAGUCGGCGAUCGAGCAUACAACAUCAAAUCAUGCUGAUGAAUCAAAGUGCGGCACUGUCCGCCCAUCGGAUGUCCGGUUAUUUUACUAGUUCUCAAUCUAGUCUGUCCACAGUAGUCGGUGCUGCGGUCUCCACCUGCACGGAACCAGUAAUGGCGGUGAAAUCGAACGGAGAUGUAAAUGAUGUGUGUAAUCAAGGAACACCAUCCUGAUCCGCUGGCAGCAUGUCUUCAGCAGUUGCGCAAGCAGUUGGAUCUUCAACUGAUUCGUUGUGUACGCGAUAAUGCACGCGGUCAGCGAAGUUAUCUCGUUAAACCACCACUUCUCCCAGUAUCGCUUCGGUUCAAAUCUCGACAAAUGGAGCACGAGUUUCGGUCGAAAGCUCAUCGCUUCGGAAAUGAGUCUGAGUUGGAGGGCAGUCCUCCAACACCUGCCACUCCCAAGUACAACACCUACAUAGACAUUCUCGUUUCCUUCCUGGUCUAUCUGGCAACUUCUACUUCCUUGUUUCUUCUGUCCUUCGGCAUACUUGGAAUCGUAUAAAGUAUGGGUUUGUAUCUUUGUUGCCUUCAGUACGGUCCAACUGUUUGCUCUAUUUAUUUGCACUAAGCCGGUCUGUCGGAGGGCACAUAAACCGGCCCGCACAUCGCGGACAGCCGUCAACCGAAGCUGCUAUGACACAAUCCUCCGGCUCAACUGGUACCCGUGGCACAUUUUUGGAGGAAUUCUUAUGUCUCUUCCUGUUCGGAUAAGAACGUUGAAGUCAAAUUUUCGCAGCAGUGUUUUUGUAGCACAGCUCAAACUAAAAUUAUAAUUUAUUCAAAUUAGUUUAAACAAAGGUUUAGUUAAAUUAAGUUAUUUGUAUCAUUUUUGGUUGCAAUGUAUUUUUUUCCUACUCACAAUAAAUAGUUUCGCCGUAUCUUUUUUCCUUCGUGCACCCACAAUUUCAGUCUAUUGGUUCGAAAUCUAUCUCUCUUUGCUCGCUCGUAUUUUCCUCUUUGCUCGCUCGUAUUUUCCUGUUGCCGAAUCCUAUUUGUUCAGUAUACUUAUUAUUAUUAAUUAUUCUACUGUUUUUUAAAUUACUUACGAUUAAUUUUAUUUAUUACAUUAAUCUCUUCCUUUUUCUAGGUUAUUUCAUAGGUGCCGCGGAUCAUACAGAUGUUAGUUCGAAUGUUAAACAGUUUUAACCAGAAUCACCUUGUUUCCACUAAUUUUAAUUCUUUAAUUUUCCUUUCACCGAAAUAAUUUUAAUGCUAACUCCAAUAUUUAUUACUUUUUCCUUAGCAAAUUUAAUCCGAUAAAGUAUUAAAGGCUAUCCACACUUCA
Wyeomyia smithii (pitcher-plant mosquito) is the source of this 3029-nucleotide long non-coding RNA. RefSeq lists it as uncharacterized. The record is from RefSeq and is a predicted model, not a curated record. The transcript is spliced from 3 exons. NCBI's taxonomy places the organism in Eukaryota, Metazoa, Arthropoda, Insecta, Diptera, Culicidae.